UACGUAGGGGGCAAGCGUUGUCCGGAUUUAUUGGGCGUAAAGAGCGUGUAGGCGGCCUGACAGGUCUGCUGUGAAAACUCGAGGCUCAACCUCGAGAUGUCGGCGGAAACCGUCUGGCUAGAGUCCGGAAGAGGAGAGUGGAAUUCCUGGUGUAGCGGUGAAAUGCGCAGAUAUCAGGAGGAACACCAAUAGCGAAGGCAGCUCGCUGGGACGUUACUGACACUGAGGCGCGAAAGCGUGGGGAGCGAACAGG
This 253-nucleotide ribosomal RNA is filed under the name uncultured bacterium. RNAcentral describes it as "partial 16S ribosomal RNA". It matches the Rfam family "Bacterial small subunit ribosomal RNA", at positions 524 to 776 of the family's 1533-position model. The record is from RNAcentral.